AUUGGAAAUGGCUGUUUUGAGUUUAUCACUAAAAUUGUUCAGUCAAAGGGGAUAAGCAUUUACAUAGAAAACCUGUAUGUCACCCGGACUCGGCUUGCACCCUAUGGCUGUGAUCCAUUGCAGUCCUUUCCUACUGAUGCUCAGAGGAUGGACAUCAUAGUUCUCCCUCUCUGGACACCUGCUCAUUUCCAGUUGUGUGAAUCUUGCAGUGAAGCUCAUUCCCGGGCAGUGGUCAGAAAAAAACAGCUUUGACUUGAAGGGUUUUCCAAGCCAAGACUACGGAGUUGACUGUGGGAUCUUCAUGCUGAUGUCUGCUCUGUACGUGGCACUGGAUGCACCAUUUGACUAUACUAUAUCAGACAUGCCCUACUUGCGUAAAUGGUGGUGCUUGCUGUUGAUGGAGAACUUUGAUCUCAGGAGGUAUUUAUAU
This is a non-coding RNA of Nothobranchius furzeri (turquoise killifish), 430 nucleotides long. NCBI's taxonomy places the organism in Eukaryota, Metazoa, Chordata, Actinopteri, Cyprinodontiformes, Nothobranchiidae. The record is from RefSeq and is a predicted model, not a curated record.